AGCGGCGGACGGGUGAGUAACGCGUGGGUAACCUGCCUCAUACAGGGGGAUAACAGUUAGAAAUGACUGCUAAUACCGCAUAAGACCACAGCACCGCAUGGUGCGGGGGUAAAAACUCCGGUGGUAUGAGAUGGACCCGCGUUUGAUUAGCUAGUUGGUAAGGUAACGGCUUACCAAGGCGACGAUCAGUAGCCGACCUGAGAGGGUGACCGGCCACAUUGGGACUGAGACACGGCCCAA
RNAcentral lists this ribosomal RNA (240 nucleotides) under uncultured bacterium. RNAcentral's name for it is "partial 16S ribosomal RNA". It matches the Rfam family "Bacterial small subunit ribosomal RNA", at positions 94 to 334 of the family's 1533-position model. The record is from RNAcentral.